CCUACGGGAGGCAGCAGUGGGGAAUAUUGCACAAUGGGGGAAACCCUGAUGCAGCGACGCCGCGUGAGUGAAGAAGGACUUCGUUAUGUAAAGCUCUAUCAGCAGGGAAGAAAAUGACGGUACCUGAGUAAGAAGCCCCGGCUAACUACGUGCCAGCAGCCGCGGUAAUACGGAGGGGGCAAGCGUUAUCCGGAUUUACUGGGUGGAAAGGGAGCGGAGACGGCAGUGCAAGUCUGGAGUGAAAGGCGGGGGCUUAACCCGCGGAUUGCUGUGGAAACUGGACGGCUGGAGUGCAGGAGAGGUAAGUGGAAGUCCUGGUGUAGCGGUGAAAUGCGUAGAUAUUAGGAGGAACACCAGUGGCGAAGGCGGCUCACUGG
RNAcentral lists this ribosomal RNA (377 nucleotides) under uncultured bacterium. RNAcentral's name for it is "partial 16S ribosomal RNA". It matches the Rfam family "Bacterial small subunit ribosomal RNA", at positions 338 to 732 of the family's 1533-position model. The record is from RNAcentral.